RNAcentral lists this ribosomal RNA (490 nucleotides) under uncultured bacterium. RNAcentral describes it as "bacterial SSU rRNA". It matches the Rfam family "Bacterial small subunit ribosomal RNA", at positions 501 to 989 of the family's 1533-position model. The record is from RNAcentral.
CUACGUGCCAGCAGCCGCGGUAAUACGUAGGGGGCAAGCGUUAUCCGGAUUUACUGGGUGUAAAGGGAGCGCAGGCGGUUUGGCAAGUUGAGAGUGGAAGCAGGGGGCUCAACCCCUUGACUGCUCCCAAAACUGUUAAACUUGAGUAUGGGAGAGGCAGGCGGAAUUCCUAGUGUAGCGGUGAAAUGCUUAGAUAUUAGGAAGAACACCGGUGGCGAAGGCGGCCUGCUGGACCAAAACUGACGCUGAGGCUCGAAAGCGUGGGUAGCAAACAGGAUUAGAUACCCUGGUAGUCCACGCUGUAAACGAUGAAUACUAGGUGCUGGGAUGCAUAAGCAUUUCGGUGCCGUCGCAAACGCAUUAAGUAUUCCACCUGGGGAGUACGUUCGCAAGAAUGAAACUCAAAGGAAUUGACGGGGACCCGCACAAGCGGUGGAGCAUGUGGUUUAAUUCGACGCAACGCGAAGAACCUUACCCGGUCUUGAGAUCC